Molecule: long non-coding RNA, 608 nt
Organism: Dreissena polymorpha
Lineage: Eukaryota; Metazoa; Mollusca; Bivalvia; Myida; Dreissenidae
Exons: 3
Source: RefSeq, a predicted model, not a curated record
AAAAAUGUGGGGUGUUUUUAACGCUUCACUACGAGCAUGAAAGAAGUAAUCCAAAUGAAAAAUUUGCAUAUGUGGGAGGAGAUAUGUCCAAAUAAGCAGUAUCUGACCUUGCCAUGACCGGAAAAUAAAAAAUCAUUGCUCAAAAGUGAAAGUAAAAAAUUCGAAGGCCAAUAUUUUGCAGAAAGAAGGCAUAUUCACUUGAAAUUCAGCUUUUAAUAAAUCAAUUAUUGUGUUUUUUUAAUAAAUUCUAACCAUUUGAAUCAGGUAUAUGCGCGUGAAAUAAUAUAUAUUUAUUUAUUUCCAACACCACUAUUCCUGUGCAGUAGAGUUACUCCCCUUUACGCGGAAUUAUUACAUUGUUGUUACGCUGAAUUCGGGAGCGAUCUUUUGAGCAGUUUUACGGAUAUCGGUACGAUAAACACAGUAUUUGUUUGGCAGGAAGAGAAAUCGUCUCAUUUGGUAUCGAUGCAGAGAACAUGACUGACAAAGAUCUAUUGGACAGUGAUUAUGAUGGGAUUUCACAAAUACAUGAGCACAGUUACAUUGUGAAUUCCUGGUGCUGCCAUUCCUAAUCAACCGACAUAUCAGAAUUUUGGAUAAGAAUUCAG